Molecule: ribosomal RNA, 2903 nt
Filed under: Escherichia coli
Lineage: Bacteria; Pseudomonadati; Pseudomonadota; Gammaproteobacteria; Enterobacterales; Enterobacteriaceae
Description: bacterial LSU rRNA
Rfam family: Bacterial large subunit ribosomal RNA
Source: RNAcentral
UUAAGCGACUAAGCGUACACGGUGGAUGCCCUGGCAGUCAGAGGCGAUGAAGGACGUGCUAAUCUGCGAUAAGCGUCGGUAAGGUGAUAUGAACCGUUAUAACCGGCGAUUUCCGAAUGGGGAAACCCAGUGUGAUUCGUCACACUAUCAUUAACUGAAUCCAUAGGUUAAUGAGGCGAACCGGGGGAACUGAAACAUCUAAGUACCCCGAGGAAAAGAAAUCAACCGAGAUUCCCCCAGUAGCGGCGAGCGAACGGGGAGGAGCCCAGAGCCUGAAUCAGUGUGUGUGUUAGUGGAAGCGUCUGGAAAGGCGCGCGAUACAGGGUGACAGCCCCGUACACAAAAAUGCACAUGCUGUGAGCUCGAUGAGUAGGGCGGGACACGUGGUAUCCUGUCUGAAUAUGGGGGGACCAUCCUCCAAGGCUAAAUACUCCUGACUGACCGAUAGUGAACCAGUACCGUGAGGGAAAGGCGAAAAGAACCCCGGCGAGGGGAGUGAAAAAGAACCUGAAACCGUGUACGUACAAGCAGUGGGAGCACAGAGCAAUCUGUGUGACUGCGUACCUUUUGUAUAAUGGGUCAGCGACUUAUAUUCUGUAGCAAGGUUAACCGAAUAGGGGAGCCGAAGGGAAACCGAGUCUUAACUGGGCGUUAAGUUGCAGGGUAUAGACCCGAAACCCGGUGAUCUAGCCAUGGGCAGGUUGAAGGUUGGGUAACACUAACUGGAGGACCGAACCGACUAAUGUUGAAAAAUUAGCGGAUGACUUGUGGCUGGGGGUGAAAGGCCAAUCAAACCGGGAGAUAGCUGGUUCUCCCCGAAAGCUAUUUAGGUAGCGCCUCGUGAAUUCAUCUCCGGGGGUAGAGCACUGUUUCGGCAAGGGGGUCAUCCCGACUUACCAACCCGAUGCAAACUGCGAAUACCGGAGAAUGUUAUCACGGGAGACACACGGCGGGUGCUAACGUCCGUCGUGAAGAGGGAAACAACCCAGACCGCCAGCUAAGGUCCCAAAGUCAUGGUUAAGUGGGAAACGAUGUGGGAAGGCCCAGACAGCCAGGAUGUUGGCUUAGAAGCAGCCAUCAUUUAAAGAAAGCGUAAUAGCUCACUGGUCGAGUCGGCCUGCGCGGAAGAUGUAACGGGGCUAAACCAUGCACCGAAGCUGCGGCAGCGACGCUUAUGCGUUGUUGGGUAGGGGAGCGUUCUGUAAGCCUGUGAAGGUGUGCUGUGAGGCAUGCUGGAGGUAUCAGAAGUGCGAAUGCUGACAUAAGUAACGAUAAAGCGGGUGAAAAGCCCGCUCGCCGGAAGACCAAGGGUUCCUGUCCAACGUUAAUCGGGGCAGGGUGAGUCGACCCCUAAGGCGAGGCCGAAAGGCGUAGUCGAUGGGAAACAGGUUAAUAUUCCUGUACUUGGUGUUACUGCGAAGGGGGACGGAGAAGGCUAUGUUGGCCGGGCGACGGUUGUCCCGGUUUAAGCGUGUAGGCUGGUUUUCCAGGCAAAUCCGGAAAAUCAAGGCUGAGGCGUGAUGACGAGGCACUACGGUGCUGAAGCAACAAAUGCCCUGCUUCCAGGAAAAGCCUCUAAGCAUCAGGUAACAUCAAAUCGUACCCCAAACCGACACAGGUGGUCAGGUAGAGAAUACCAAGGCGCUUGAGAGAACUCGGGUGAAGGAACUAGGCAAAAUGGUGCCGUAACUUCGGGAGAAGGCACGCUGAUAUGUAGGUGAAGUCCCUCGCGGAUGGAGCUGAAAUCAGUCGAAGAUACCAGCUGGCUGCAACUGUUUAUUAAAAACACAGCACUGUGCAAACACGAAAGUGGACGUAUACGGUGUGACGCCUGCCCGGUGCCGGAAGGUUAAUUGAUGGGGUUAGCGCAAGCGAAGCUCUUGAUCGAAGCCCCGGUAAACGGCGGCCGUAACUAUAACGGUCCUAAGGUAGCGAAAUUCCUUGUCGGGUAAGUUCCGACCUGCACGAAUGGCGUAAUGAUGGCCAGGCUGUCUCCACCCGAGACUCAGUGAAAUUGAACUCGCUGUGAAGAUGCAGUGUACCCGCGGCAAGACGGAAAGACCCCGUGAACCUUUACUAUAGCUUGACACUGAACAUUGAGCCUUGAUGUGUAGGAUAGGUGGGAGGCUUUGAAGUGUGGACGCCAGUCUGCAUGGAGCCGACCUUGAAAUACCACCCUUUAAUGUUUGAUGUUCUAACGUUGACCCGUGAUCCGGGUUGCGGACAGUGUCUGGUGGGUAGUUUGACUGGGGCGGUCUCCUCCUAAAGAGUAACGGAGGAGCACGAAGGUUGGCUAAUCCUGGUCGGACAUCAGGAGGUUAGUGCAAUGGCAUAAGCCAGCUUGACUGCGAGCGUGACGGCGCGAGCAGGUGCGAAAGCAGGUCAUAGUGAUCCGGUGGUUCUGAAUGGAAGGGCCAUCGCUCAACGGAUAAAAGGUACUCCGGGGAUAACAGGCUGAUACCGCCCAAGAGUUCAUAUCGACGGCGGUGUUUGGCACCUCGAUGUCGGCUCAUCACAUCCUGGGGCUGAAGUAGGUCCCAAGGGUAUGGCUGUUCGCCAUUUAAAGUGGUACGCGAGCUGGGUUUAGAACGUCGUGAGACAGUUCGGUCCCUAUCUGCCGUGGGCGCUGGAGAACUGAGGGGGGCUGCUCCUAGUACGAGAGGACCGGAGUGGACGCAUCACUGGUGUUCGGGUUGUCAUGCCAAUGGCACUGCCCGGUAGCUAAAUGCGGAAGAGAUAAGUGCUGAAAGCAUCUAAGCACGAAACUUGCCCCGAGAUGAGUUCUCCCUGACUCCUUGAGAGUCCUGAAGGAACGUUGAAGACGACGACGUUGAUAGGCCGGGUGUGUAAGCGCAGCGAUGCGUUGAGCUAACCGGUACUAAUGAACCGUGAGGCUUAACCUU